Molecule: long non-coding RNA, 550 nt
Organism: Leptinotarsa decemlineata (Colorado potato beetle)
Lineage: Eukaryota; Metazoa; Arthropoda; Insecta; Coleoptera; Chrysomelidae
Source: RefSeq, a predicted model, not a curated record
AGAAAUUCUGCUCGAGUGUGAUAAGGCCAAACUGAAACGUUCACCCCGAAAAAUUACUGGGUAUUAUAAACCUUUGAAGAGUCCAAUUGGUCAGUAACUUGCCGUAUUUAUAAAUUUCCCAUGCGUGUGUAUGUAAAAUAUCGAAUAUGACAUCUUGACAUUUUAUUCUUAUCACAACUGUCAAAAGAAAAACAUAUUUCAAAAGAGGUGUACUCAACAAUUGUGGAAGACUGAAAACCGAGAAAUCAUCAAGGAAAAUUCUUUUACCGUUCAAUAAGCUAAGUACCUUUUGAUAAUAUGAAUUUAAAGAUUUAUUCUAGCUAUGGUCAUCAAGGAAAAUUCUUGUAACGUUCAAUAUGCUUCGGCAUCUCUUAAUAAUAACUUGAAUUUUAAAGAUUUAUAAUAUAUUAUUAUAGCGAUGGUCAAUCGAAUUUUAGCAAGUGCAAUAUGGCCAAUGUUUUUUUAUUGUAUUUUGACAUGUAAGCAACACUGAUAUGUAUAUGCAACGUAAUGUUAAAAUCUUAUAUUCAUGAAAAUUUGCCUGUGAGAA